AACUCUGGAACCUGGGAAAUCCAAGAUCCAGGCAUCUGAAGAUUUGGUGUUUGGUGAGAACCCCUGUAGUUCCUAGAUGUCUUUCUUGCUGUGUCCUCAGGUCGAGGAAGGAAGGAGUCAGAGGAGGUCUCCAGUCCCUUUUACAAGGGCACUAAUCCCAUUCCUGAGGGCUCCACCCUUGUGAAUUGAUCACUUCCCAGGGCCCCACCUCCCAAUACCAUCCCACUGGGGUUUAGGUUUCAACAUAAGAGGACACUCUGACUAUAGCACAAACCAAGACCUCCAUGAGUUACCAUGUAACAUCACCAGAUGGACAAAAAUGAAAAAAAUCUGACAAUGCCUAGUGCUAUCAAGAAAGUAAUGCAAUGAAAACUGGAUUGCUGGGACUAGCAGAAACCGACGAUAAAGGGCAGAAAAUAAUGAAACUUAGCACAAACACUAUAGAAAGGAUCAACAAAGCCAACCACUGGUGCUUUGGUAAAAAACAAUAAAACUGACAUCUUGGGAAAUAAUCUGAAAUUAGCAAGUAAAAUUGCAGGCAUGCAUUCUCUAAAACCCCACAGUUGACCCAAAAUAUUUUUUCUAAAGAAAAAUCUGAACAUGUACAGAGGGAACAUGUAUAACAACAUUCUUAACCUUGCAGUUCCUUAUGGAGACAAGUAAGACAGCACCCAAAUGUCCAUUUUCUGUGUCAAUAGAGAAGAUGGCAUCCUCAAACAAGGGAAACAGCCGAAAAAAAUGUCUUUAUCAGAGCUUUACACAAGGCACAUGAACUUCAGGAAGUCCUUGGUGGAAAACAGGAGACUCAUGGAAUCCACACAGCAAGACCCGUGCCAUACAUGAACUUGAGAAGCAACAUGGGGGCUGGCAUGUGGCUCAUGGGAGAGCUCUUGUCCAGCUCGCACAAAGCCCUGGUCCCAUCCUCAGCACUGCUAAAAGGAAGAAAAGGAAACAACAUAAAGCCAAAGCACAUAUUGUUCCAGGAGGCAAACACAGGGGGUGAAACUACUGAAAAAAAUCCAAGAGGAUGAAAAUCACAGCAGUGCAGUGGGUGAGAUGACAAGGGCCACCGGAGGGAGGUCCAUGUGAGCGUUGGUGCAUCCCCACCCCUGCAGAUAUUGUAGAUAUUUUGCAUGUGCUUAAUUAAAAAACAUUUAUUGAAGUAAAAUUCACAUAAUAGCAGGCAACAGAGGCACACAACUAUAGUCCCAGCUACUCUGAAGGCUGAGGAGAGAGGAUCACUUGAACUCAGGAGUUCAAGACAAGCCUGGGCAAUAUAGCGUGACACUGUCUUAAAAAAAGGAAAAAGAAAGUAAUUCACAAAACAAAACAUCUUUUUCUUUCUUUCCUGUGUGUGUGUGUGUGUGUGUGUGUGAGCGUGCGCGUGCACGCUCGCACUGGGGAUUGAACCUAAGGGCAUUUUACCACUGAGCUACAUCCCCAGUCCUUUUUAGUUUGGGGGACAGGGUCUUGCUAAGUUGCUGAAGCUGCAUCAAACUUGUUAUGAUCCUCCUGUCUCGGUCUUCCCAGUGUCUGGGAUUGCAGGUGUGUGCCAUGGCAUUUGGCAAAAUAAGCAUUUUAAAGUGAACAACUCCGUGUUAUUUAAUACAUACAAUGUCAUGUCUGGUACUACAUCCAUCUCAAAGCCAUCUCCCCAAAAGCUGUUUUUCCACCUUGACCAACAUCUCCUCCUUCCCUGCCUACCCUCCACCCAGCAUCUGGUAACCAGCAUUCCUCUCUCUACCUAAACAAGUUCCACAUCUUUAUUUUCCCCUAUGUAAGCGAGAUCAUGGCUUGUCACUUCGCAUAACGUCCUCUAGGUUUAUCAAUAUUAUUGAAAAUGACAGAAGUUCUUUUUUUUCAUAGGCUGAAAAGUAUUAUUUUGUAUGUAUGUACUGCAUUUUUUCUAUAUCCAUUAUCUGCCUGUGGA
Molecule: long non-coding RNA, 1930 nt
Filed under: Marmota monax (woodchuck)
Lineage: Eukaryota; Metazoa; Chordata; Mammalia; Rodentia; Sciuridae
Source: RNAcentral